Molecule: ribosomal RNA, 375 nt
Filed under: uncultured bacterium
Lineage: Bacteria
Description: bacterial SSU rRNA
Rfam family: Bacterial small subunit ribosomal RNA
Source: RNAcentral
AGGACGAACGCUGGCGGCGUGCUUAACACAUGCAAGUCGAGCGGAAAGGCCCCUUUGGGGGGUACUCGAGCGGCGAACGGGUGAGUAACACGUGAGUAACCUGCCCCUGACCUCGGGAUAAGCCUGGGAAACUGGGUCUAAUACCGGAUAUGACUACUUCGGGGCAUCCGAUGGUGGUGGAAAGUUUUUUCGGUUGGGGAUGGGCUCGCGGCCUAUCAGCUUGUUGGUGGGGUAGUGGCCUACCAAGGCGACGACGGGUAGCCGGCCUGAGAGGGCGACCGGCCACACUGGGACUGAGACACGGCCCAGACUCCUACGGGAGGCAGCAGUGGGGAAUAUUGCGCAAUGGGCGGAAGCCUGACGCAGCGACGCCGC